AUACGUAGGAUCCGAGCGUUGUCCGGAUUUACUGGGCGUAAAGAGUGCGUAGGUGGUAUGGUAAGUCUCAUGUGAAAUCUCCCGGCUUAACUGGGAGGGGCCAUGGGAAACUAUCAAACUUGAGGGCAGUAGAGGAGAGCAGAAUUCCGGGAGUAGUGGUGAUAUGCGUAGAUACCAGGAGGAAUACCCGUGGCGAAGGCGGCUCUCUGGACUGUCCCUGACACUCAGGCACGAAAGCGUGGGGAGCAAACCGGAUUAGAUACCCGGGUAGUCC
RNAcentral lists this ribosomal RNA (274 nucleotides) under uncultured bacterium. RNAcentral describes it as "partial 16S ribosomal RNA". It matches the Rfam family "Bacterial small subunit ribosomal RNA", at positions 523 to 796 of the family's 1533-position model. The record is from RNAcentral.